CGCCUUAUUUGAUUUUCUUCGGAACUGAAGAUUUGGUGACUGAGUGGCGGACGGGUGAGUAACGCGUGGGUAACCUACCCUGUACAGGGGGAUAACAAUCAGAAAUGACUGCUAAUACCGCAUAAGACCACAGCACCGCAUGGUGCAGGGGUAAAAAUUCCGGUGGUACCGGACGGACCCGCGUCUGAUUAGCUGGUUGGUGAGGUAACGGCUCACCAAGGCGACGAUCAGUAGCCGGCUUGAGAGAGUGAACGGCCACAUUGGGACUGAGACACGGCCCAAACUCC
RNAcentral lists this ribosomal RNA (287 nucleotides) under uncultured Lachnospiraceae bacterium. RNAcentral describes it as "partial 16S ribosomal RNA". It matches the Rfam family "Bacterial small subunit ribosomal RNA", at positions 61 to 339 of the family's 1533-position model. The record is from RNAcentral. Lineage: Bacteria; Bacillati; Bacillota; Clostridia; Lachnospirales; Lachnospiraceae.